Long non-coding RNA from Anguilla rostrata (American eel), 1089 nucleotides. RefSeq lists it as uncharacterized. The record is from RefSeq and is a predicted model, not a curated record. Lineage: Eukaryota; Metazoa; Chordata; Actinopteri; Anguilliformes; Anguillidae. The transcript is spliced from 4 exons.
CUUACGUUCUCAUUGAGCUGGUAAGGUAGUUCAGCGCCUGUUUAAUAUACUUCCUGUUUGCUCACUUCUCUAGAAGCGUUUCCCCGUUGAAAGCCUCAGUGGCUCAUCGCCUUGGUGAUAAGCUUCGAGUCCCUGUACAGUUGCGUGUGGUCCUCUGACACUCCCCCAACCCCUCACAAGAUCACACAAUGUACUGCUUCAAGAUGGCUUCAAAAUGACAAUCCUUUAAGAACAAAAUGCUAAGGACUUAACUGAAUUAAAAAAAACACAUUUAUUUGACUCCUUUAGGGCUCUCAAACGGUAUCCUUGGGUGAUGCAAUUCAUAUUACCUGCACAGAGGAAAGUAAGAACGCAACAAGGAAAUCCACAGAGGGACCGCAGCGGUGGGGGAGUCCAGAUGACAACAUUCUUGGGAUUCAGUGCAGAAGCUGAAUGACUCAUGGGGAAGAAAAUUGAAAGGGCUAUUAGGGAAUGAGCUAUAGAACAACAGGGAGUAAAGUGACAACGGUAUGAAUUGGGGAUUACAAAGUGGCCCCACCAGGAAUAAUCUAUGGCUGCAUAGCUACUAGGACAGGGAUUGGGAGCUCAUGCAGUCAUGGGGGGGAGACACCGUACCCGCCUAUCAAGAGCCAGCCCAUGUAAAGUGGGGUCACAGCUGAUUGACAGGUGACCGUAAGGAAAGGAUGCCACUCCACAAUACUCUAUGGCUACAGGCUUAUCCCGCCAUGUCUUCAUACUGUAACUGAUUAUAAGCCUGAGCAUAAAGGUGCGUUUUUAAUUGAUUUAAGUAUGGAGACUGUGCUUGACUCCCUUAAGUUUUGUAAGGGUGUUCCACAGUAGUGAGGCUCUGUAGGAGAGCACUCUACCACCCUUCAGGUUUUUAGACAUUUGUGGAACAAGUAGCCUGAGUCUUGAGAACGGAGUGACCUUGUGGGCUUACAAGGUGAUUGAGAAAGACAUUUAAAUCCUGAAAGGAUCUUUGUCGUGUAAAAUUAAUACUUUCCUGUACAAAUAAGCAUGGUUCUGGGGGAGACAGGUACUGCAACACAUAACAAAUGUAACAGCACUGUCUUUUUUGAUUAAGGCAUU